AAUGAAAUAAUACCCAUGAACGAUCACAUUAAUCACAUAUUAUUCAGAUUUUUAAUAAUCUAUCUCUGUCGUUUGUUAUUUAUGAAAAAAAAACAGCAAAUACAAAAUAUGUGAUUGAUGUGAUCGUUCAUGGGUAUUCUUUCAUUUUUCCGAUUGUACGGACCCUGACGGUUAACAGAGGUGACGGUUAAUGGAGAGACGGAUAAUCGAGGUUCCACUGUAUUUUCAAUUUGUAUAUUUUUGUCUUGGGUUGUUUGGAACUAUUUUAUUAGAAAUCACUAAAUUUUUGAAUUUUACCUGUGACUAGGGAACAUUGUUAUAUUAAGUCUUGGUAUGAAACAAUGUUAAGACAAUACUGUGUGCUUUUUCAGUCCUAUGAAAGAAAAUGUUUUGGAUGUAACAGAGAAGUACUACAACUUUGUUAUGAAGAUUUGUCUUUAUGUUAUUUUUAUAAUGUUCAUGGAUUAUAUUUGUUUUUAUGUUUUCUUCAGUUUAAAUAAAGUUUAUGUUUUACCCA
Diabrotica virgifera virgifera (western corn rootworm) is the source of this 517-nucleotide long non-coding RNA. RefSeq lists it as uncharacterized. The record is from RefSeq and is a predicted model, not a curated record. Lineage: Eukaryota; Metazoa; Arthropoda; Insecta; Coleoptera; Chrysomelidae. The transcript is spliced from 2 exons.